This 431-nucleotide ribosomal RNA is filed under the name uncultured bacterium. RNAcentral describes it as "bacterial SSU rRNA". It matches the Rfam family "Bacterial small subunit ribosomal RNA", at positions 41 to 507 of the family's 1533-position model. The record is from RNAcentral.
GGCAGGCCUAACACAUGCAAGUCGAGGGGGAAGCCGACUUUCGGGUGGUGGAGACCGGCGCACGGGUGAGUAACGCGUGGGAACCUACCCUGGGGUGGGGAUAACCGCUGGAAAACGGCGGCUAAUACCGCAUACGCCUUGAGAGGGAAAGAUUUAUCGCCCUGGGACGGGCCCGCGUUGGAUUAGCUUGUUGGUGAGGUAAAGGCUCACCAAGGCUGCGAUCCAUAGCUGGUCUGAGAGGAUGAUCAGCCACACUGGGACUGAGACACGGCCCAGACUCCUACGGGAGGCAGCAGUGGGGAAUAUUGGACAAUGGGGGCAACCCUGAUCCAGCCAUGCCGCGUGCGUGAAGAAGGCCUUAGGGUUGUAAAGCGCUUUCACCGGUGACGAUGAUGACGGUAGCCGGAGAAGAAGCCCCGGCUAACUCCGUG